Molecule: ribosomal RNA, 253 nt
Filed under: uncultured bacterium
Lineage: Bacteria
Description: partial 16S ribosomal RNA
Rfam family: Bacterial small subunit ribosomal RNA
Source: RNAcentral
UACGUAGGGUCCAAGCGUUAUCCGGAAUCACUGGGCGUAAAGCGUGCGUAGGUGGCGCGUUAAGUGAGAUGUUAAAUCGUGUGGCUCAACCAUAUCGUUGCAUCUCAUACUGGCGUGCUUGAGGACAGCAGAGGCAAGUGGAAUUUGUAGUGUAGCAGUGAAAUGCGUAGAUAUUACAAGGAACACCAAUGGCGAAGGCAGCUUGCUGGGCUACUCCUGACACUGAGGUACGAAAGCGUGGGGAGCGAACAGG